This is a long non-coding RNA of Lontra canadensis (Northern American river otter), 357 nucleotides long. RefSeq lists it as uncharacterized. The transcript is spliced from 3 exons. NCBI's taxonomy places the organism in Eukaryota, Metazoa, Chordata, Mammalia, Carnivora, Mustelidae. The record is from RefSeq and is a predicted model, not a curated record.
UUGUUUGUGAACACACUUUGGCCAAAUGUGAUGUCACAUGAUGAGGUGAGGCUGGGGGGCUGGCUGCUACUAUAUGAUCUGUAAUGUACCCCAGGAACCAGCCAAGCUUCUCCACCAAUCUCAGUGGUAGGACUCUUCAUCGCGUGCAUGCAGAAGGAACCUGUGUCCUUUUGCAUUGAUGGAGGGUGAGCAGGGCAGUGCAGGAGAAGGACCAAACCAGGUCUAUGAUUUGUAUGGCCAAGAGCUCUUGAAAUCCUGUCCAGGAAAAAGCUAUCAGAGAAGAGCUGAAUGUUGGAAAAUAGGAGGGGACCCCUUUAGGGUUCUGUUCCUAAAGAAAGAAUGCCUUCCCUGAAUCUA